UGGCACAAGUCACCAUCCCUCAUUCUUGGUAUGUUGAACGAUUUUCAGCUGAAUCCUGGACAUUUUUGUAUCAUAUUCUGAGACUCUGGUUAUAGUUGGACCCUCGGUUUUAGCUGGGCUUUUGGACACCGCUCAUUAAUGUCGGGUGGAAGUAAACUGAAUUCUUACGCAUGAGACAGAGGCUGACCACGGAUGUGCAGGGCAAAGGGGCCACCUGAUGUGGGAGAUGGCUGAGGUCUACAAAAGGCAGUUACGUAAGUGAGAUGCUGCCACCUCCAAGGCCCCACAGUCCUCAAGCAACGUCGAAGAACACGACUCAGGUCAAGUGGGAACGUGUGUUGAUCAGAUAAGCAAGGCGGGUGAGGAGCACCCAUGGGUGGUGGAUUUGUGAGCAGAGAUCACCCCAGUGCUUGGAUGCAUGCCAACAUACUUUGCUCAAUUUCUGCCUUCUAAAUCUGGAUGCUGCCCUCUUUCUGUGGCUACUGACUUGCCCCCUGAAAGGAAGGAUGUGCUGAGAGUAGACACUUGGUGGGGUGUCUUUCUAGCUCCUUUUCUAGAACAGGCACCUUUCUUGGAAUCUCACUUGGGCACCCCACCAUCCAUAUAUUCUCUGCCCCUCCCCACCUGCCAUGGGAGAAGGAGCCAGGAUGGACAUCUGGACAUCACUGUGUUGAUCUUGUUAUCUCUGGGGUAUUCUCUUAACCAGAAGAACUGAAAUGGGCCAUGCUAGAGGGGUGGCCAUUUCCACCUGACACGUGUCCCAAGAAGCAGAGAACAGACCAUGGAGAACAGCAGGUAGCUCUGUGCUUGGGUGCAAGAGAUGCCCCUGUGUCCUUAGAUAGAAGCCACCAUCCACCCCAUGCAAGCCAGGCUGAGAAGCCUUCUCUAUUUGCCGUCCUCAAGUGUGAGUUAUUUCCUGGAGCCACCGUUAGCAUCUCUACCUUGUUAAAAUGACUGAUAAUCCAAACUCUGGGUGUGUGGCCAGGGGAAUUGUGUCAGGAAUCUAUUACAGGCUGUCCCCAAACUCAGCUGAGGUCUACAAAACAGUGGUAGACAUAUGUUAUCUCACACAAUUUCUGUGGAUCUGGAGUCCGGGAGCAGCUUAGCUGGGUGGCUCUGGCUCAGCGUCUCUUGUGAGGCUGCAGCACAGUGGUCGCUGGGGCUUCAUCAUCUGAAGCCUCGACUGGGGCCAGUGGAGCUGCUUCUAGGCUCACUCACCGGUUGCUGAGAUGCUUCAGGUCCUCCCUGGCUGUUGGUCAGAGGCUUCAGUUCCUUAGGAUAUUUCUACAGGACUAUAGUUUGCUUCCCUCAGAGAGAAGAAGGGAGGGGCAGAGAGAGAGGGAGGGAGAGAGGAUGUGAGAUGCGUGGGGCUGGCUACUUAAUGGAGAAGAGAGUGGGGACGAGCAUUCUGGAGAGCUCCGAGAAAGCCCGUAGAGUUCCGGAAUGUUGCUCAGGGUCCAGGGAUGAGAGAUGCAGCUGAUGGAGAAGGUGGGGGACCACUGGCCUUCAGCUGGUGCAGAGGGAGCGGGGGAGGGUGAGAUCCUGGGGGUUACAGUCGGGAGCCUGGGGGUUUACCCAGGGGAAUGAUGUCUUCUCACAACUCCAGCUUCAGUGAGCAGAGAACGGAGCGGUGGGCGGCGGGAGGGGGAGCUAGAUGUGGGCAGAGAGACACGCUGUGGUUACUUCCUCUUCUCAGAUGAGGAAGCUGAUGCUGGAGAAGCAGAGCAGCUAGUAAGAGGUCACAGGGCUGGGAGGUGUGUAGAUGGGCUUCGAGCACAGGCCGUCUGCCUGGAGCACAUGCCUUCACCGGAUGACUCUGACCGUCUGGGGGGCAUUGAAUUGUGUCCCCACAAGAUCCGUCCAGUUCCUGGUACCUGCCAAUGUAUCCUUAUUUGGAAAAGAUACCUUUGCAGACUUAACCGAGUUCAGGACCUUGAGAUGAGAUCAGAGCGGAUAAAGGGUGGGCUCUCUAGCCAAAGACAGGUGUCCCUGUGAGAUAAAGGAGAAGGAGGUUUGAGACACAGACACACUGGGGGCAGAAGGCCAAGUGAGAAAGAAGGCAGAAAUUGGAGUGAAGCAUCCACAAGCUAAGGAUGCCAGCACUGCCAGCAGCCUCCAGAAGCUGGGAGACAGGUGUGAGCAGGCUCCAGAGGGAGCAAGACCCUGCCGACACCUUGAUUUAGGGCUUCGGUUUCCAGAACUGGGAGAGAAUGGACUCCUGUGUCCUAAAGCCCUGUCAUCUGUGGCUGUUCGUUACAGUAGCUCUAGGACCUUAAUACAGCCUUCCCUGCCCCUUCCAGGGACAGCCUGAGCUCCCCACAUUUCCAGACACUCACCUGACCUGGGAAGACAGCCAGACCUGAGGGGGAGGGGGCAGAGACCCCUUCUCCUGCUGCCUGUUCUCCCCAGGAAACUUCCACGAUGCCCCCUGCUUCUCCAGAGCCUGACCUGAGCUCCAAACAGCUCCAAACUGAGAGAGGGAGAGAGAGGGAGAGAGAGAGAGAGCGAGAGUGCCCAGGUGGAGUGGGAAGGGCCUCUCCAGCUUCGAUAUUCGUAAGAAUCACCUGGAGAGCCUGAAAAACAUCCCUGGGCGCCCCCACCCAUCUGCAGCCCCAAGAGGUUCUGAUUCAGUAGGUGGGAGGUGGGCCCGGGAAUGUGCCUGACUCAUAAACUGUUGGGGUCGCUGGUCUGGGGCCCACAAAUUGAGUAGCACCAUUCUAGGCAGAGGCAACAGCUUAGACUGAGGGGGUGGAACAGACGUGUGGGUGGGAGAACACCAGUGGGCAGGGAGCACAGAGGCUGGAACUGGGGGAGCCUGAUGGUGGAGCUCAAAUGGGAUGGCGCUGGUCCUCGAGGGUCAGGGGCAUGUCCCAGGCCAGGACACCCGCUCCAGGACCUGCUUAUGGAAGGGGAGCCAUGAGUACGCCUGGCAAGUGCAAGACAGUAUGGGACUUGGGGGACUGGGUAGGGCCUUGGGUCAAGGGUCUUGAGCAUGGGGUUGGCGGCUGCCAUGGAGGUUUAGAGCAGGGGGGGUGUCCCCCCACCUUCAGGCGGGGCAGCCAGCUCACAAAUGUCAGUCCCACCAACAGGGAACCCAGCGGGGUGUCUGCAAGUUUCUCAAAAUCUCCAGCCUGCAGAUGCUGGCACUCAGGCUGGCAGGCGAGCUCAGCUGCAAGGGGCCCAGAUUCGGAUUGUCUUAAGGAGACAAAACUGAGACAAGCCAUAUUGAAGCCGCUCGGGAGGCCUCAGAAGGAGCCUCUGUCUCCCUGUGAUUGUUCCCGAAAGCAAGGCCCCUUCCAUCUGCGAGGCUAGGCCCCUGUCUUUGCAAAUGCCUCCCACUCCCCAUGGAGCCGGGAACGCUUAAUGCAGCUCGGCGGGGCCCUCAUAAACAGCCCUUCCCCAGCUGGUAGGAGCUGUUUUCUUUUCCCCUCUAAGAGGUUUGUUCCUGGUCAUAAAUUCUGCAGGCCCAGGCGGCCAGGCAAGGAUGAACACGUUGGUAAACACUGUAGUUAAAAACACGGCUUCUCGGCUGAGAAAGGGGCCCUGACAAUGGAGCCUUGUCCCCGGCAGCGAAUCUGAUGGCCCAUCUUCUUUGAUUCCUUAACCUUGCUGCGGGCUUGUAUGCAAUUGGCCUCAUUCUCCGGGGUCCAUCAAACGUACAUUUAAACGCCUUCAUUAGCAUCUUCCUCUGAUCCAGAACCGCUUGGCGAAUCCAACAGGCAUUGCGGAGAGGGCAGCCGCGGUUUCUCUCUGGUGAACAUCGAAAACUCCUUGACAAAGUUCCUUUUACAAUUUACUUCCUUUGUUCCAUCUUCAAGAUCUUUCGUGACCAAUGUACUCGGAGAUGACUUGGGGACAAAAAUCCCGUCUGGCCCAGACAGUAAAUCUAGCCUCCAUUCAGACGGGUUAAAUGCGUGCUUUAUGCCUAUUGUCGCAGGCUCUCCAAAGCUCUUGCGCCUUUAAGGGUUUCCUACAAUAAAUUACACCCAUCACCCUGUGGUCUGGGUUGAGGGAGGGGACUGGCAAUGGGGAGGGCUUGCGUUCACCUCGCAUGGGAUGAACAGGCUGGGACGAGGCUGCCAGGCAGUGGCACAACUGCUCUGCAUUGCCACCAAUCGCCCCGGACUUCUGGCCUCGUGCUCCUUGGGAGUCUUGUUUGCAAGAAGCCAAAAGCUCAACUCUAAGUGGAUGCGGCCAAAGUGCACUGGGAAGGGUGGCUUGCUUCGGUCGCCACUGCCCCAGGACCAGGCAGCUCUCUCCAGGAGGGGAUGUCCCUAGGCUCCCUCUGGUGGGUCACAGUGGGUCCAGUGGCAGCUGCUGGAGCCCCAGGACCCUCAAGUUCAAGUCCGUCAUGACGGAGCAAGCAUCCUUUCCCAGCAGUCCCUAGCAAGAGUCUCAUUGGCUGAGAUUGGGUCACAUGAUUGUUCCUGACCAAUCCCAGUGGUUCCCUAGCAGGUGCCUCAUUGGCUGGAAUUGGACCACCUGACUUUUUCUGAACAAUCCCUGUGUUCCUUAGCAGGAGCCUCAUUGGCAUGGGUUGGACCACAUGACCAUCCCUGACAAAUCCCAGGCCUGGGUCGUUCUAGUGGGGGAAAGCUGGGUUGUGGUGCCCAGAAGAGCCAGGAAAAGCUCUGGACAGCCGGAACAGCAGACAUUGGUUAUGGCGUCUAACCGAGGGCAUCUCCUUUGCCCCACAGGCCUGAGUCAGGGUGGCAGGGGGUGGCUCAGAGGCGGGAACCUAGGUUCCUUCCCUGCAUAUCUACCCCUGCGUCCACUGCAGAGUCUGUCUCCCCAUGGCCGCUGUGCUGCCUCCAGUUCGUGUCAACUCUGAUGGGCUCCGGACAACUCCGUAGCAUUUUCUCUGAGGCACGACUGUCGGCUGCAGGGGAAUUAGUGUUCUGCAAGUCCGGUGUUCGCUGGUCUGGAGGCCGCCACAGAUCUGAGGGCCAGGAUGGUGGCUCUGGCCAGGAUCGGAGCAUGGGCGAAAGGGUCCAUGGUUUCAGCAGAUGCUUUUGAACCCUGGGUCUCUGACCGUGGAGUGGUCCAGUAGAAAGCAUCGAAGACCAUGGCAGAGACCAAUCCCCUCAUCUUUCUUAUUGUCAAAACCAUGAUUUGGGAAAACAUUGAUCCAGCCUAAAUGUGCUGAAUACAUGACACAACAGUGGCUACUGACAUAUAAUGGGUGUUAUUGGAUGGGCCUUCUGGGGAAAUCCCUUAGCAGCUAAAUGGCCCCUUCUGUCCUUUCUUGAUUCUUCAUGCCCCAAAUGCAGAUGUGAUGGAAUUCCAUCCUCUCAUCAUUGCUCACACGUAAUGCUGUCAGACUCCCCCGCCCCCUUUUUUGGUCAGGCUGAAGGAUGCAAUGUGCCAUCCUUUUCAUCUCCUUAAUUACUUAAUUAUGGUGAGGUGUGAUGCCCACUUCAGAUUCUUUCCCUGUAUUUUGAGUCUUUGUAUCUUUUACCCAUUUUUCCAUUUAUUGAUUUGUAGAAGUUCUUUACAUAUUCUGGACAGGCAUCAUUUUGCCAAGGAUAAGCAUUGCAUACAUUUUCCCCACCUGUGGCUGACCUUCUCUUUUUUCCUAUGUUGUCUUUUGUCAUAUUCCAGGUUUUUACGUCUGCCCUAAGUAAAUGUAUUGAUCUUGUCCUAAUUGUGCUUUCUGUGUUGGUUUAACACAUCUCAUCUCAGGGUGGUAAGGAUAUUUUCCUAGGUUUUAUUUUAAAAUUGUAUGAAUUGUCUUUGUAUACUUAGGUCUCCUUUAACUGAAAUGGAUUUCUCUUUGCAGGUGUGAAGGAAGGAUCUAAUUUUGCCUGGCUUUCCUUUGUAAAGCCAAUCAUCCUAGGUCCAUGUAUUGAUUGCUUUUUCUUUUUCUAAAAUAAGUUUUAUUCUUAUAUAUCUUCCC
Molecule: long non-coding RNA, 5896 nt
Filed under: Sus scrofa (pig)
Lineage: Eukaryota; Metazoa; Chordata; Mammalia; Artiodactyla; Suidae
Description: lncRNA (ENSSSCG00025052532.1, ENSSSCG00055030059.1)
Source: RNAcentral